Molecule: ribosomal RNA, 433 nt
Filed under: uncultured bacterium
Lineage: Bacteria
Description: partial 16S ribosomal RNA
Rfam family: Bacterial small subunit ribosomal RNA
Source: RNAcentral
AACGAACGCUGGCGGCAUGCCUAACACAUGCAAGUCGAACGAGACCUUCGGGUCUAGUGGCGCACGGGUGCGUAACGCGUGGGAACCUGCCCUUAGGUUCGGAAUAACUCCCCGAAAGGGGUGCUAAUACCGGAUAAUGUCUUCGGACCAAAGAUUUAUCGCUUUUGGAUGGGCCCGCGUUGGAUUCGCUAGUUGGUAGGGUAAAAGCCUACCAACGCGACGAUCCAUAGCUGGUCUGUGAGGAUGAUCAGCCACACUGGGACUGAGACACGGCCCAGACUCCUACGGGAGGCAGCAGAGGGGAAUAUUGGACAAUGGGCGAAAGCCUGAUCCAGCAAUGCCGCGUAAGUGAUGAAGGCCUUAGUGUUGUAAAGCUCUUUUACCCGGGAUGAGAAUGACAGUAACGGGAGAAUAAGCUCCGGCUAACUCCGUG